Nylanderia fulva is the source of this 84-nucleotide non-coding RNA. The record is from RefSeq and is a predicted model, not a curated record. NCBI's taxonomy places the organism in Eukaryota, Metazoa, Arthropoda, Insecta, Hymenoptera, Formicidae.
UUUGCCUUCUACGUUUCAACUUUCUACAAGAAAGGUGCGCAUGUGAACGUGAUACGUUGCAAUAUCAUUUCUACAAGACUGAAG